GCAUAAUGUUCUGAAUUUCUCUUUUUUUCAAGGAAGGACUGGCUGCCCAGCUGGAGGGAGUUCAGUCAUCAGAUAGCCUCAAGGCAUCAGCUAUAACAGGGUUUGUCUCAGCUGCCAAGAUCUGUCUUGCCUGAGGUCAAGUAAUUCUUUCUGGGUGACCCACUGACGCUGCUGACUCCGUGUUUCCCUAUCUGACAGUGUGGGGCUGGAUGGCCUCUGGCUGUCAUAUUUUGAGCCUUCGUCCCAUGCCAGGUCCUGAGCUGCUACUGAGGCAACCAGCAGUUUGUGGACUCUCACCAGCACAUGCAGAACCAACAUGGCCAUGCUUCUGGCAGAUCAUGCUGCAGACCUCUCAUCUCCUCUCUGGGGUUUUCUGCUGUAUAUGUACAUGUGCAGUUCAGUGCCCAGCUCAGAAGCAUGCAGGAGUUAACACACCUGAUGAGAGAGGCAAGAAAUGGAGCUUUCUCAUCCCUAUGUUUUGACUUCUUGCUUCCUGUGCCAGUGAAUAUAUAAUCAGAUACAAUUGUGCCUGAAAUCAUGCAGAAAUCCUAGGUAACACUCCCAGAGAGAACCAGAUCUCAAAAUUAGGAAACAACCUCCUUUAGGAUUCCUUUAGAAUUACACCUUCACUGAUCUUUAAUGAGGGAUCCUUAAAGGCAGGACUAAAGUGAACUUGUUUGCAGUAGCUUAAAAAUGGUUGCAAAUUCUCUAUUACCCUGACCACUGAGAGGUGGAAGCUACAUUAUCUCCCUGGAAUCUCUGUUCACCUUGUGAUUUACCUGACCAAUUCAGAGAAAAUGACACUCUGAGACUCUCAAAGCAAUAUCAUAAGAAGUCUUGCAGCUUCUGCCCUCAUCUCUCGGGACACUCUUUCUAAGUGCCUUGAAUUGUGAUUUAAGAAGUCUGCAUGACAGGGCGCUCAGGGC
Bos indicus x Bos taurus (hybrid cattle) is the source of this 926-nucleotide long non-coding RNA. The record is from Ensembl. Lineage: Eukaryota; Metazoa; Chordata; Mammalia; Artiodactyla; Bovidae.